AUUGCCUAUCUCUUUCUUCUCCCCUCGGUUGUCCCCCAUGAAAACACAACCUCCAAAUCGCUAGGGUUCACCAUUCCUCGUCGUCGUCGCCACCCGUCCCAACCUCGGCCAUUGGCGGCUCGACCGUCGCCGGCCGGCAAAUCAGAGGCGAUGCGGCCGUAAUCUCCCUUUCCUGGAGCCCAAAGGCGCAGCCGCCGCAUCUGCUGCAUCCUCCACCGACCACUCCCAUCAUCGGACCGCCUCCACCCGCCCCAACCCCGGCCACCGUCCACUCGGAUCUCAGCCGUUGCUAUAUAUGAUGUUUGUUCCUUUCACGGAUGCAAUUGGUCAUAGGGCAACCAAAUACUUGACAUGAUUCAUAUUGAGGAAAGGAAGAAGUAGUUUCUCCUCAUGUCUACUGUCAUGUGUUAGCAUCCUUAUUUAUGACCUUGUUUGAAUUUGUGUGCAAUGCAAUGAUAAAACUUGUGGCAUGGUUGUUUAUUCUGUGAUGGCAGCAAUAGAGUAUGAUUGUAUUUCACCAUGACCAUAUAUUUUCCAAUCAAAGGAUGGUCUCAUGUAAUAUAUAAUUAAUAACAUAUGUUAUAAUGAGUUCAAAAGUAUUGUCA
Triticum dicoccoides is the source of this 605-nucleotide long non-coding RNA. RefSeq lists it as uncharacterized. Lineage: Eukaryota; Viridiplantae; Streptophyta; Magnoliopsida; Poales; Poaceae. The record is from RefSeq and is a predicted model, not a curated record. The transcript has 3 exons.